CCUGCGGGUGGCAGCAGUGAGGACUAUUGGUCAAUGGCCGCAGGGCUGAACCAGCCAAGUCGCGUGAGGGAUGACGGUCCUAUGGAUUGUAAACCUCUUUUGUCAGGGAACAAAGGCGGGGACUAGUCCCCGGAUGAGGGUACCUGAAGAAAAAGCAUCGGCUAACUCCGUGCCAGCAGCCGCGGUAAUACGGAGGAUGCGAGCGUUAUCCGGAUUUAUUGGGUUUAAAGGGUGGGCAGGCGGCCUGUUAAGUCAGCGGUAAAAGCCCGGGGCUAAACCCCGGCGAGCCGUUGAAACUGGCGGGCUGGAGUUGGAGAGAAGUACGCGGAAUGCGCGGUGUAGCGGUGAAAUGCUUAGAUAUCGCGCAGAACCCCGAUUGCGAAGGCAGCGUACCGGCUCCACACUGACGCUGAGGCACGAAAGCGUGGGUAUCGAACAGGAUUAGAUACCCCUGUAGUC
This 459-nucleotide ribosomal RNA is filed under the name uncultured bacterium. RNAcentral describes it as "partial 16S ribosomal RNA". It matches the Rfam family "Bacterial small subunit ribosomal RNA", at positions 338 to 795 of the family's 1533-position model. The record is from RNAcentral.